AAAUUGAAGAGUUUGAUCAUGGCUCAGAUUGAACGCUGGCGGCAGGCCUAACACAUGCAAGUCGAACGGUAACAGGAAGAAGCUUGCUUCUUUGCUGACGAGUGGCGGACGGGUGAGUAAUGUCUGGGAAACUGCCUGAUGGAGGGGGAUAACUACUGGAAACGGUAGCUAAUACCGCAUAAUGUCGCAAGACCAAAGAGGGGGACCUUCGGGCCUCUUGCCAUCGGAUGUGCCCAGAUGGGAUUAGCUAGUAGGUGGGGUAACGGCUCACCUAGGCGA
This 279-nucleotide ribosomal RNA is filed under the name Escherichia coli. RNAcentral's name for it is "partial 16S ribosomal RNA". It matches the Rfam family "Bacterial small subunit ribosomal RNA", at positions 1 to 276 of the family's 1533-position model. The record is from RNAcentral. Lineage: Bacteria; Pseudomonadati; Pseudomonadota; Gammaproteobacteria; Enterobacterales; Enterobacteriaceae.